GAUCGAGUUUGAUCCUGGCUCAGAUUGAACGCUGGCGGCAUGUCUUACACAUGCAAGUCGAACGGUAACGGGUUAAGCCGACGAGUGGCGAACGGGUGAGUAAUAUAUCGGAACGUGCCCAGUCGUGGGGGAUAACGUAGAGAAAUUUACGCUAAUACCGCAUACGAUCUAAGGAUGAAAGCGGGGGUAUCGCAAGACCUCGCGCGAUUGGAGCGGCCGAUAUCAGAUUAGGUAGUUGGUGAGG
Molecule: ribosomal RNA, 244 nt
Filed under: uncultured Comamonadaceae bacterium
Lineage: Bacteria; Pseudomonadati; Pseudomonadota; Betaproteobacteria; Burkholderiales; Comamonadaceae
Description: partial 16S ribosomal RNA
Rfam family: Bacterial small subunit ribosomal RNA
Source: RNAcentral